Molecule: long non-coding RNA, 833 nt
Organism: Austrofundulus limnaeus
Lineage: Eukaryota; Metazoa; Chordata; Actinopteri; Cyprinodontiformes; Rivulidae
Exons: 2
Source: RefSeq, a predicted model, not a curated record
GGUUCUGACUCCUGGUCCACACAGGUUCUGACUCCUGGUCCACACAGGUUCUGACUCCUGGUCCACACAGGUUCUGACUCCUGAUCCACACAGGUUUGGUUUAAUGUCAAACAACAGUUCCUGCUGACUCAGCUGUCAUCAGCCCCUCCCCCCUCGAGCCGAGCCCCGCCCCUCCUCACUUCGCUUCAUUUCCUCCUCAGGCUGCUGAUGUCAUUUCCACCCGUGGACUUGUAGGAUGUGGGUUAGCUUCCUGUCUGCUUUCAAAGCCCCGCCCCCCGGCGUUGAAGGAGUGCGCCGGUUGUGAUACUUCCCCAUGCGUGGUGGGGGGGGGUCGCUCCUCUCCGACCCGGGCCUCGGCUCAUUCAGGGUCCGAUCGCCGACGUUUUCACACCUUUUAUCUGGACUUUAGUCAGUUUCCUUUUUGUUUUUUGUUUUUUUACACACUGAACUUGAAUUUCUUAGCAAACCGAAACACAAACAGAUCUAAAGGAAAUAAAAAGGUAAUUCUACUUGAAUUGGGGAUUUGAAACCCAGAUGUUUUGUUUUUCGCGUUCUCUCUCCCUGUUUCUUAAAGGAACGUGUACUUUUACUGUUUGGGCAAUCCUGUGUAUUGCUGCCWCUGUUGUAUCUAGCGAUGGAUCUGUCUUACCUUUUUAUUCUGUCGGGUCAAAAAGCUGAAAUGUAGAAGUUUUURUUUGAAUAUUGUGUCUGAAUGCAGCAUGUUUUUAAAUCCGGUUGGGCUUCUACUAUGGAUGCACUUCAUCUCCAUCAUGUAAAAUAAGCUCACGUGCCGACAAGAGAACUAAAUUAAACAUUUUUCUGUUUUAACUUCA